This 459-nucleotide ribosomal RNA is filed under the name uncultured bacterium. RNAcentral's name for it is "partial 16S ribosomal RNA". It matches the Rfam family "Bacterial small subunit ribosomal RNA", at positions 338 to 795 of the family's 1533-position model. The record is from RNAcentral.
CCUACGGGAGGCAGCAGUGAGGAAUAUUGGUCAAUGGCCGGAAGGCUGAACCAGCCAAGCAGCGUGAAGGAUGACGGCGCUACGCGUCGCAAACCUCUUUUGCCGGGGUACAAAAGGCCGGACGCGUGCGGUUCUGAGGGUACCCGGAGAAAAAGCAUCGGCUAACUCCGUGCCAGCAGCCGCGGUAAUACGGAGGAUGCGAGCGUAAUCCGGAUUCAUUGGGUUUAAAGGGUGCGCAGGCGGGUGUUUAAGCCGUUGGUGAAAUCGCGGGGCUCAACCCCGACGAGCCGUGGGAACUGGGGGCCUUGAGUGCGGUGGAGGCAUGCGGAAUGCGCGGUGUAGCGGUGAAAUGCAUAGAUAUCGCGCAGAACCCCGAUUGCGAAGGCAGCGUGCAGUGCCGCCACUGACGCUGAGGCACGAAAGAGUGGGUAUCGAACAGGAUUAGAUACCCUAGUAGUC